GCAAUUAUGAAUAUCUCAAGAUAUAUGGCCCUGCAAUGUUAUGCGGUUCGUGUCAAUGCCCAGAGAAUAUAUAGGGAACAAUAAUCACCAAUCGAUCAACAAUGCAUAGUGUUAUGGAUUGAACAACCCAUGUCACGUGUACAGUUGCAUGAGCUAUCUUCUAUAUAUUUCCGGCGCUACAUAUAACUUCGAUGUUCAUUUGUGUUAUUCACAUGGGAUGUCUAUUUUCCAGGCUUACAUCUCAGCCAGUUCUCAAAGUUGUGUAGAAUGAAUGAUGUCUCACCCAAUUUCUCCAUUAUCAACUUGUUUUCUUCAAAAGUAGCAAAGCUUUCUAUCUACUUCAAGAAGCACUCCCCCAGUUAAUUACACUUAUUCUGCACAUGUGUAAAAUAAUUAGCAAUCCAUAAGAAGCAUGCACACAAGCAUUAUAGAUAGAAGAAUAAAAAACUAUUAAAAAGGAUUCGGUGGCUGAAAAAAAAAUGAAAAACAUACUGAUUUAAUCAUUUAAGCUCACAGCCAAAGUUCAGACAAGAUAAAAAAAUGGAGCUAUCUCAGAAUCAUUCUAAAGCUUGCUGUCUCCUAUUCACAUGCUUUAAAAUAGAUUUGAGUUUAAUAAUUGCGCGUAGUCUUUUAUGAGAGUCGAUGGUUUUCCAUAUCCAACUUGUUAUGAGAAAUGUGAGAAAAUAAAGUUCUGUUGAGCUGUAUUUUAUAGUCAACAGUACUGCAGAACCAAAUGUUCGAAGCAAAUGCACAGAAACUUUGGUGUUUUUCCCUUACAAAGCAAGUUACUGAAAAUUUAUAAACACAUUUUCAAAUAUGUGACGAUACGCUUUGACUUUUUAGAUGGCUUGCUAGCAGACAAGAGCGAAAAUACAGCUUCGUCCGAGCUAUUUGAUGAACGCACAAGCACCUCUUCUUUAUGAAACUCAACAGAUCCAACUGAUCCUGUGUGCCCUAAUUAGGAUAUUUCUCUCAAUUAAUUUAAGGCUGUUACCAGAAUUUUUAUUUCAAAUGCUUCCUUGAACUACAACAGUUCGGAUAUCUCUCAAAUGCAGCUGAUGUAGAUAGCCCUAAUUGAAGAAACAGUAUAUUUCUUUCGAAGUUGCAACUCAAUUUUUUCUUGCUUUUUUACGUACCUUCGUACAUCUAAUUUUAGGUUUCUACUAUACCAUAGAUACUUGUAAUCCAAACAUCCUUUUUAAGACGUACAUGCAAUUGGAGACCACUGAAGUGACCAGCCACUGCCAGGUUGUGGUCUCUGCUUCUUCUAAUAAGUAACCGGGUUUCUUCAGAACCGACGGAUCAAAUUCUACACUCAUUCCAAAAUACUGGCAUGGUUAUAUUAUGCAUAAAAAUUCAGAAUAAACUGAAAGGUUGAUUUCAAAUACUACAGAGUGAGGAUGGUUAUUAUAAAAAUUUCAGAACAUGAACCAGUUGCUAAUCCACGGCUGAAAUCCAACCAGCAGAGUGAGGGUUCACCCUGGAGCAAAGCAGCUGUGCAUCAUUAGUUACCAUGGUUAGGCCCUGCAAGUCAAAUACGAAAAUGAAUCAAUCAAUUAAGCUGAAAGUAGCGUAAAAGAUUCUACCUUGUAUCUGAACUCUGAAGGAAGCAGUAUGAUUAAAGAGGAUCACACCAUCCAUUAUGCACUUCAUGAACAGCAUAGAUAUCCUUAUUCAUUCAAACCCCCUGAUCUGAUAAAUGAAUCGAUGGAGUCAACAUGGAUAGCAGUUUUCAUUUCAUUUUUUAAACAACGAGUCCCCCUUCAGCCUGAAACAAUGAACAGUCACAAAUGUAUCAACUUUGAUUUAAGAAAAAAAUCAUAGAAGUAAUUUAGUUUGUUAUGAUAGACCAUCCUCUAUAAAAUUGCAACUAUCAGUCUCACAAAUAGAGAACUGAUUAAUGAUUAGGUCAUGCCAUAGACUAUUCAAUUUUAGUUCUGGGAAGUUCAGUUUUCUAAACAUAGCUCAAUCAGCUAUAUAAUCACACAAUACUCCAAGCAAAAGAGCACAUGCAAAAAUAGUCCUUUAUCGUCUCUUGUUGACUGAAAAAGCUUUAUUGUCUUUCCCAUUUUUUGAAUGGAGUGGCCUGACUAUUUCUUAUGACACCAUAAUGACCAGAACCCGAAGAAAACAUUGCCAGGUUAAAACUGAACCAUGUAUUCCGUAGGCUAGUAGCAACCCAUACAGCAGCUGAAUUUUUCAGAAAUGAGAGUGUUUCAUUUCACCAUAGUUUCAGAAUUAUAUUUUCAGAAAUGUUUAGACAAAAUAAUAAUCUGUCCCCUGUCUCCAUGAGCAAUCAAAUUUCGAAGCUGGCACCAUAAGUUAGCAUCGCUCCAGAUUCUAUUUGAACUGACAUACAACUUAAACGAGAAUAGUGUACCAAAUAUACAGGAACAACUGAAAACAUAUAUAGGGUGAAUAAUGUGAGGAUAUCUAAAAAAUGUGGAAUUUUCAGGAGUGGAGCUUAUGACCUCUUCUGCAUUAAGUGGAUGUUUUAACAGCUUGCUUCUCAACGCUAAACUGAUCUACCAAGCUGAACUGCAGAGAACAGGCAAACCAUCAUAAGAUGAAAGAACCGGAUUCGGCGGUGACUCUUGGAGGAGCCAUGGGCGAUGGUCAAUGGCGAGCGGCAGGAAGCCCAACGGGAGAUCGAGGCAUGGGGAAUCGACGAUGCAGGAUGACGAUUUGCGCUAUGAGGGGCCGGCGACGAGCGGAGACAGGACAAUCGGCAACAAUACCUGAGGAUGAGGGUGAGAAGGGAGGGGAUCGACGACGGGGAGGCUCGUGCGACGGCGAGUGGGCGGGUGACGGGAUGGAUGUGGGCGUGAGGAGGGUGUGCGAAUGAAAAGGGGGAGGAGAUUGGGGCGGUUUCCGGCGUCAGCGGCGGAGACGGCGGAGGGAGGCGUGGGAGGGAGGUGCGGUUUCUGGGAGGGUUGUGGGAGGAGGAGGUGCAUGGGGAGGGGGCGUGGGAGGGGC
RNAcentral lists this long non-coding RNA (2976 nucleotides) under Oryza sativa (Asian cultivated rice). Its description in RNAcentral is "long non-coding RNA (OSAT_LNC001334)". Lineage: Eukaryota; Viridiplantae; Streptophyta; Magnoliopsida; Poales; Poaceae. The record is from RNAcentral.